This 2397-nucleotide long non-coding RNA is filed under the name Gossypium raimondii (Peruvian cotton). Its description in RNAcentral is "long non-coding RNA (GRAI_LNC010208)". The record is from RNAcentral. Lineage: Eukaryota; Viridiplantae; Streptophyta; Magnoliopsida; Malvales; Malvaceae.
GGGAAGGGAGUUUGUACAAAAGUGAGGAGUGAGUAUUCAUGUGACUCCAUCCCUUAUUUAUAGUACAUGAAAAAUCCUAGUUGGUUCAUAUUUAAACUCUAGAUGAUAAAGUUCAAGAGGUAUAAUUAAAAUUAAAUCUAAACAAUAUCAUAAUAAUCCUAACAGUAAUUCCAAAUGGAAUUCAAAUUUAAACAAAGUUUUAUGUUCAUAAAUCUCUUCUUUGAAAUUUUGCCCCAAGUUUUCCACACUUUAUAUUUUUGUCACCACAUCUUCUCUAUUUCGCAUGCUGACCCGUUUUGUCUUUGAAUUCACGAUUUUUGCCUCUAAAUUUCCUUUUGCCUUCAAUCUAGUCCCUACAAGAUAAAAAAAAACUAUAAACAACCCAAAUUAGUAGGAUCAUACUCAAAAUAUAUAUGUAAUUAGCUCAUAAAAGUAUGUCACUUUAGAGUAUUACCAUAUUCCCCCUACUUAGCCCAUGCUUGCCCUUAAGUAUGGCUCAUAUUCUACUAUGUAAUUUAGAUUUUAUCAUGGAAAGAAGUAUCACUCCAGAGUUUUAUAAAAAUUAGGCAUAAUGCAUAUGAAAAUGUUGAGAACCUUUAGCUUGCUUUAAGCAAAACCGAAAAAGUACUCAAACUUAAACACACAAAAAUUAAAUCAACUUGGAUUAUUUCAUGAAAGUUAGGCAAUUUACUAAACUUACCAAGACACCUAUUUUUUUCACCUUUAGUCCCCAAAUUUAAUUCUCUUCCUUUCUUUUCCUUUGUCUUAUUUUGUCGAUUUUUUUUUUUGCUUAAGAAUGUAUUGGUCCUUUUGACGCGAAGUGAAAUGACAACCCAAGCACCCCACCCCGGUUACUCAACCCAACACACUCCUAAUUUAUUUAUUUUUAUUUUUAUCCAUAAUUCUGGUUAGCGGAGAUUUACUUAACACAUCACACAACCUUUUUACGCGAAGUAGGAUGACAACUCAAUCACUCUGUAACACUCUGAACCUGUGUUUGUUGCCGAAUUAGGGUUACGAGGUAUUACCGAUCAAAAUACAACUUAGAACAGGCAUUCAUUCAUAUAAAUCUAUUCAUUAACUACUUUCCAAAAAUACUAUUUAUAAUUAUGCACUCUUCACAUUUUACUAAGUCAAACCAAACCACAUGAUAUAUUAAAUGUUAUAUAUAUAUAUACAGACAUUAACAACAUCACAUAUUGGUCAAGUAUAAAAUUUGGUUUUUACCAAAUUAUGCACACUUUAACAAAAUAAUAACUACCAAUUUAUACAAAAGAGCCGACUCAAAUCAAUACCAAAAUUAUAACACCACUUGACUAAUGAAAUAUCCAAAACACCUAUCUACCAUUUACCAAAUUCAUAAAUCACAUAUAUGGUACAUUUUAAACUCAAGCAUUUAACUUAACAAUUUAACCGUUAAUUAACAAAAUCACAAACAAAACAUAUCAUAGACAUGUAUAAGUAUAUUUUACCUAUCGUUAGCCAAAUAUAAAUAUACACCCUUUCACCACUUCCAAAAUACAUUUGUACGAUCGAUCUUUACCUAUAUAUUCAGUCAUAAAAUUUAUUCUUCGAUAAACCAACCAAUUUCACAAUCUCGUAUCAACACUAAUUGUACCAUUUAUAACCGGACCUAAAUGACCAUCAAAUCAAUUACAAAACAGGUUCAUAUUUUACCAUCAUAAGCUGUCUUUUAACAACCAAUAUGCAAGUUAUCACACAUAUAUAACUUAACUUAUGUGAGCAUAAGUAUUAUAUCAAAAACACAUUAUUUACCACUUUCAAACCUUUACACAAGACAAAUUAUACAUCCAAAAUAAAUCAAUAAUAAGCCACAACUAAAAUACAUCCAUCAACUAUAUUUACUUCACUUAAGCCGAAUUAUAUAAUCAAUCAUCACACAAAUAUGCUAUAAAUCAUACUUUCAAAAUAAGCUAUUUUCAUGACCGAUUAUACAUUAUCAUAGCAUCAUUAACACAACCAAAACAAAUCCAUCAUCCUUAUAUCAAGCUUACCAACAUGAACUAAUCAUAAACCAUAUAUAAAAUAUAUCUUUUCAUCGUACCGAAUUCAUAUACCAAAUAUACCACACAUAUAUACCAUGUCUCAAAAUUACUUAAACAUAAGCAUAUUAGCGUUAAAUCAGUGGAGAUAAAAUUUGAGCAGCUUGCAGAUUUAAGUUUGAGGGAAAGGGAGAUUUAAGUAAUUUUUCUUGUUAAUAAAGACCUGGCUGGUCUGAGAGUAAGAAGCGGUGGCACCAGAAGUCUCGAUUUCCACCAUAGCUGCAGCAGGAAGAAGCUCACACAGCAAGAAUCUUCAUACCUCAAAAUCACCCAAGCAAUUCAAAAAUUGUCUUUUAUAAUUUUUCAAAUGUGUUGGGGAUGAGGAGGAGCAAAG